Molecule: ribosomal RNA, 295 nt
Filed under: uncultured bacterium
Lineage: Bacteria
Description: partial 16S ribosomal RNA
Rfam family: Bacterial small subunit ribosomal RNA
Source: RNAcentral
GUCUUCAGCUCGUGUUGUGAAAUUUUGGGUUAAUUCCCGCAAGGAGCCCACCCCUUAUCUUUUUUUCCCACCGGUUAGGCUGGGCACUCUAAGGAGACUGCCGGUGACAAACCGGAGGAAGGUGGGGAUGACGUCAAGUCAUCAUGGCCCUUACGACCAGGGCUACACACGUGCUACAAUGGUGGGUACAAAGGGUUGCCACCUCGCGAGGUCAAGCUAAUCCCAUAAAGCCGAUCGUAGUCCGGAUUGCAGUCUGCAACUCGACUCCUUGAAGUCGGAAUCGCUAGUAAUCGUA